Felis catus (domestic cat) is the source of this 3624-nucleotide long non-coding RNA. RefSeq lists it as uncharacterized. The transcript has 3 exons. The record is from RefSeq and is a predicted model, not a curated record. NCBI's taxonomy places the organism in Eukaryota, Metazoa, Chordata, Mammalia, Carnivora, Felidae.
CCCAGAGCACGCAUGUUAAUGGCAGGCUGGGACUGGCUGACACCUUUAUAGUUGCCCACCACCCUCUUCAUCAGCUUUACUCAUCGGACCCAGGCUUUCUUCACGGUGGCGACGGGCCCAGAUUAAAAAACCCAAAACUAUUUUUCCCAUUCUCCCUGGUGCGUUGGGAUGCUGCGUGACCCAUUCUGGCCCAUGAAAUACAAGCAGAUUCACGGGGUGAGGCUUCCAGCAGAGUCUUUAAAGGGAGGUCACCCAACUGGUAUGGGCUUCUAGCUCUUUGCCAGUCCCUCUCUUCUUGCUGGGAGCACAGACAGGAUGCCGGAGUGGAAGCAGCCAUUUUGUGAUCAUGAGGGUCCGGUCUUCUUGGUAGGGGAGGAGGACAAUCCCUCUGUGAUUGAAGCCCCAGCCCAGUGUUUUGUCUUGUUUUGCUUUUUGAUUCUGUUCCUCGCAGCUCAGCGUAGUCCUGACUUGUGUCUAGAGGUGAAAGGACGCUGAAGAAAUACCCAGUUCAGUGAUGUUCAAGUUCUGUGUUGCAUCUGGGCUCUGGGACACCUGCAAAACCAGUGGGAGGCAGGAAAACUGGAGGGACCCUGUGGAGAAAAGCCGUGGUUUUGUUUGGUUUGGUUUUGUUUUUUGCCUUUGCUUCUUUCCCCGCUUCCGUUCUUGCUGGGACCUGCACGCCGGCCUUACACACACCUUAAUGCCUGUCCUCCUCGUAAAGCUCAAGGAGUUAAUGAUUCCUUUGGAGACUUCCAGCACCACAGAUAAUCUAAGGGGUGACCGGGCAGGGUCGUCCUAAACAUUCUCCAAGACCACUGACUCCAGACACCCUGACGCCAAGACCCUGGGCUUCAGGGCGUCAGUGAAGGACACUCGGACCCCGGCCCUUGAUCGGCCCACUUCCUGGAUGCCCCACAGGACACGUGCACCAGGCCACAAUCGUCAAUAAAAACCCCAGACGCCCAGCAAAGACGAAGUUCUCUUCUCUCCUUUCUGAGUCUCCUGGACACUCAGUCCCUCUGUAUCUUCUCUCUCUCUCUCUCUCUCUCUCUCUCUCUCUCUCUUCAGUAAACUCUGCUUUCACCUCUUGCUGGCUCACCUUUGAGCCACUCCAUCCUGUGUGAAGCUGACGGCCCUCUUGGCUGGUCCUGUGGGACCCCCUCUGGGUCUCUGGGCCUGGCCUGCUAGCAUCAAUUGAGUGUGUGUGUGUGUGUGUGUGUGUAUUUAUGUAUAUUUAUACAUACGUAACCCUCAAAUUUCCAGGCCCUGUGGGAGGAGGACCCCAUCUCCCUGCUUAAAAGAGAACAGCUGUUUUUCCAUUGCUAAAAUGGUGUAAAAGCCACCGUUUCAUCACAUUCUAUGUAAAGGUGGGGAAACUGAGGCUCAGCGACAAGGUGGCUUCACGUUGAGGAUAAAGAGGCCCCACAGUGCCUUGCGCGGAGGAGGAGGCCGGCAGCCACAGAGGGACUCCGCCACAGCCAGAGGCGUCCAGGGUUUUAGGAAUGGGAUUGAGGAUCGGGAGCACAAAAGAGGAGAAUUGAUGUUCGGCUUUUGACUGAAUAGGAUCCUGCAGUCUUCAGCCAGAUAAUGGUCUUGAAAGCCGGGCUUUGUUGAGAGAGGGGAAGGCUUUGUGCUGUGGAGAUCACCACCGCCACGUGAUUGAUGACGGUGAUUACAAGGCCAUGAUCUACUUGGGGGACCCUCCCGGCAUGUGACAGGAGACAUUCACAGCGAUUAGUCGGGGGCCGCACAGGAGCUGCUUGCUGGCUUCCAGGCGUGUCACGGCAGUGGGUUCUGAGCCAUCACUCUUCCUACGGUGGAUGAGGAGGCCCAGAUGCGCCUGGCAAAAUGAUGUACAAGAAAGACUCAUGCGUCUUGCUCCAAUUAAGAUGUUGGAAGAGAAGAGAGUCUAAUUGUCCCACAAUUACCUUUAUUUAUCAAACUCAGAAUGAAGUGUGAUUAUGAAGUGUCUCAGGAGAAGAGUGCAGAGUUGGGGAUGGUCCAGGCCCUGCCUGGCGUCCCAGCCGCUGCGGGGGAGGAAGGACAGCCACGGCGGCACCUGCGGACGGCCUCCCCGUGGAGGAAGCCAGGUAGAUGAGCAAGGUGAGUUCUGGCUCCCGCUCUGCCACCGGAUUGCAGGGGACUUUGUCCCUUCCCGCAGCAUCUGGGACAGACCUCCAGCAGAUUUUCCAUAAACGUUUGUUGAAUCGGUGGGUGACAGGUAAGGCGACUUAGGCUCAUGAGGGCUCAGUAAUUUACCUGAGGACACACAGUCAAUAAUUCUCAGAGCCACAAGUCAGUGUGUUUGACCGAGUGGAGUUCAAGUGCUUUGAAACACAGGACCAAGGAUAAGCCGAAGACAUUGGUUUAUCAUUGCACGGUCACACACCCACAAUAGACCAAGGACCACUUGGAUGCAUCAGAAUAAACGUUCAGAAAGAAAAGAAUGAACGAACUGAUUAUACGCCAGGCUCUGUUUUAUGCACCAGUGGUGCAGGUGUCCGUGAAACACCAUCUCUAAUGUCAAGAAACAGUCUAGUGGGGAGACAGAGCUGGCAAGGCAGUGUGACAUGUGCAGUAAAUGCAGAAUGUCUGGGUCCCACAGGUGGCUGGACCAGGGUGGGGGCCAGGAAGAAUUUCCUGGAAUGUUUGACAUUUGGGAGCAGUCUCAAAGGAUGAGGGAGGGAUGGGAUAGAUAAGCCAAGGAGAAAAGCCUGUGCAAAGGCCCUGGAGGUGAAAAGGUUGACCCUGCCGGGCUGACCUGUCUGUGUGCAGGUGGGCACCGGAAGCUGUGGGAUGGGAAGUGGUGACCCUGGGCUGGCCCCGGCCCUGCCUGCUGGGCCAGCCAUCCACUCUGAACUUGCAGACUCCGGAGGCCCCCCGCUGCUGCCACACCCUGCCAGCUCCCGUGGCACGAGAGGGGAGGAGGAAGCAAUCUUAGUUUGCUCAGUUUCCUGUGGUCCUUCCGUAAUCCCUGUGCUGGCUCCAAGGAGCAAUGGCUCAAGAUAGCUUUGCACAGCAGGAUGGAUGGCGGGCCACAGACGGGCUCUUCCGACCUGGGGCUCCUUUUAUAUCUGUGUGUUGGCUGCUGCCUGGCCACAGCCCGUGCAUGCCCAGCUGUGGCCGAGCGGGCAAGAACCAAGGGGGGCUGGCAUUUGUAGAGGACGGACUAGGAGCUACUCACAGUCCUGGGGGCUUUCACACAUGGUCUUCUCACCGACUCCUCAUUGCAGCCUGGAGGUGGCGCUGUUAUCCCCAUUUUGUAGAUGAGAAGGCAAAUGCUCAGGGGGGUUAGGAAGCGGGGCCGACGUUUGGACCAAGAUUGUCUUGGUCCACUGUGUCAGGACCAGCCAAGCAACUAAAGGCAAAUGUUGGUCCUACCGGUAGGUCCAGGGUGUGUGAAAUAGGGAGUGGGCAUGAGGGCCUGGGGGAAAGUGCUGGAAAAGUUCAGUUCUCCUCAGCUAAUUCUGACUUUGAGUGCCUUGAGUGGCCCUUCAUAGGAAGACAAUAACACUGCUGAUGGUCCUUUAUAUUUUAAUACACUGUAUAUCCAUACAUGCACUCAUCCAACUCUCCAUCUCCAUGUCCAUCCAUCCAUCCACGCAUCCUCCCAUCCAUCCAUCC